GUGCCAGCAGCUGCGGUAAUACGUAGGUGGCAAGCGUUGUCCGGAUUUAUUGGGCGUAAAGGGAACGCAGGCGGUUAUUUAAGUCUGAUGUGAAAGCCUACGGCUCAACCGUAGAAUUGCAUCGGAAACUGGAUAAACUUGAGUGCAGUAGAGGAGAGUGGAACUCCAUGUGUAGCGGUGAAAUGCGUAGAUAUAUGGAAGAACACCAGUGGCGAAAGCGGCUCUCUGGUCUGUAACUGACGCUGAGGUUCGAAAGCGUGGGUAGCAAACAGGAUUAGAUACCCUGGUAGUCCACGCUGUAAACGAUGAAUGCUAAGUGUUGGAGGGUUUCCGCCCUUCAGUGCCGCAGCAAACGCAUUAAGCAUUCCGCCUGGGGAUACGACGCAAGGUUGAAACUCAAAGGAAUUGACGGGGGCCCGCACAAGCGGUGGAGCAUGUGG
Molecule: ribosomal RNA, 440 nt
Filed under: uncultured Lactobacillus sp.
Lineage: Bacteria; Bacillati; Bacillota; Bacilli; Lactobacillales; Lactobacillaceae
Description: bacterial SSU rRNA
Rfam family: Bacterial small subunit ribosomal RNA
Source: RNAcentral